Molecule: non-coding RNA, 24 nt
Filed under: Mus musculus (house mouse)
Lineage: Eukaryota; Metazoa; Chordata; Mammalia; Rodentia; Muridae
Source: RNAcentral
UGUGGGCCUGGGAUCUACCUCCUG